AUUGAUAAGCUGCAACAAAUAAUCACGACCAUUUCUUAUGAAACAGGCCAAGACACCGGAAUCUAAAAUGACGAAGAAAUUAAAAACACAUCUCUCAGUUAGGCAUUUGAACAACUAAAAAAUACAACACGAAUCAAAAGAAAGAUUCAGGGAGCACAAUAACAAUAGAUCCAUAUAUUGUAAAACCACAUCUGAAACUAUUUGAAAAGAAUCCAAAACGGUAAUCCAGAUCCAACCCAGAACCACGAUCUUCUUUCAUGUCUAUCCAAAAACUACCACUGGCGUUUGAUGAACAAGACCAUCAGUAACGAUAAAUUCGCAUAAACUAAUCGUUGGCGAGAAGAAACAGAACAAACUGAGGAGAAAAACACCAUUGUUGGACUAGACUUGCCAAAGAAUCAUGAUAGACCACCGACUCAACACCGACAACGCUCCUGUUAGAAGAUGUAAUUCAUUGUUUUAAUAUGAAAGUUGUAUUCGACAUAGUUGUGUUGGACAACUAGUCGAAGUAAGCUAAGUAGGAGUAAGAUGUGUUAGACGGAGUCAAAUACAACAUGUGUGUCAAGGUGUGUAAGCAUGUAUU
RNAcentral lists this long non-coding RNA (583 nucleotides) under Lathyrus oleraceus (garden pea). Its description in RNAcentral is "Pisum sativum (pea) long non-coding RNA (PSAT_LNC002977)". Lineage: Eukaryota; Viridiplantae; Streptophyta; Magnoliopsida; Fabales; Fabaceae. The record is from RNAcentral.